Long non-coding RNA from Petromyzon marinus (sea lamprey), 4635 nucleotides. RefSeq lists it as uncharacterized. The record is from RefSeq and is a predicted model, not a curated record. Lineage: Eukaryota; Metazoa; Chordata; Hyperoartia; Petromyzontiformes; Petromyzontidae.
AUUAAGGCACGGUCGUAGGUAGUGAAUUGACACGUGUGCAGGAGGGCCACGAGCCUGCGAGAUUGUUUUGCGCGUAAUUUAAUUAGAUUCGUGUUCCAUUUGGAGGGCUGACGGGUUACCCACCAAUGUGAACGAAUCCCGUUGAAGAAAAGGUAACGUACGCGGCGGUGGUGAGAAACAAAGAAGGUUGAUGAUAAAAAAAACACUGCCGGCAUGUGUUGAAUAUUUAAUCGUUCACGAUGAGAUGCUCUUCAUUUGUAUUUCAGGCCAAACUGUUGUGGAAAUUCAGCAAAAGGCCGGACGUGUGAGGCGAGCUGCGUGUGGGUUAACUCACUUCUACCUCGCACCUCCUCUGGGAGUUGGGACGGCUGAUUUCAGGGCUCGGAGGCUCAUUGCAAAGGCAACCCUCGCCCCUCAUUAGCAUGACGUGACCCGAUGAGUCAGGUUGCACUCGGCAUCGCGGGAUUUUUGGUGAAAGGCGGGCAAAGUGAGCGAGCGCAUUGUAGCGGCAAACUCGUACGAACCUGACUGCAGUGGGUAUGUCACCACAUGCAAAAAAAAACACGUGCUUACAUAUAUACGCGUUAAACAGCUAUCUAUUUUAACAACCCGCCACGCGCUUUCUCACCCUGCCAAACCACGUAGAUUUUAGUCCACCUGGUGGACGGUGGAGCGGUUGACGCGCACCGCACGAUGAACGCGGCGACCGGGCUUUGAUUCCUGGCCGCGGCUAACGUCACUGGCGAGCGACGUGCAAAUUAGUUCUGGGUGCCCCCCCCCCCCUUUCCAUCAACCCGUGCUCACCAAGGUGGUGGAACACGGUCAAACAAACCCCCCCCGGGAGCGACACGGUGCGGGGUAACCUUCACGCGCGAUGUGAUAUGAAGGGGUUCGAAUUUAUUUCUAAGUAAAGUCGAGAUAAUCGGUGGGAAAUUCGGGGUGGAGAGACGCGUCGAUGAAAUAUUGACUCUUAAGUUCACAAUGUAGGCAUCGACCCGCGUGUUUAAGAAUUCAUGUGCUUUGAUCUAAUUGUGACUGUCGCCGCCGCAGCCACACGAGGCGCUACAUUUCUCUCCAAAGUGAAAGAGCUCUACGUAUCGAUUCUUUCAUCGAAGCGUGACCAAAUCGUGACCGUUCAAUGCAUUGCAAUGGAUUACCUGCGAGGAGGCGGUGGUGGGGGGGGGCGGUGGUGCUGGUGACUCAUUCCAUCCUCGAAUAGAAACGUGUUGUGGUCCGGUUGUUUCUCUGGGAUGGACGUGUCACGUGUCCGAGUGACCGAGGGGCAGUGCCAUUGCCACGUGCGGCAUAUUGAUGCCGGUUUAAUAAUAAUUCCUGGCCAGAAUCAGGAUAAGGGAGGACUGUAAAUCUUGACUUAAAGCUUUCGUGACUGCAGGAAUUCAUAGUCUUUGGGUUUUUCGGUAAAGUCACGGAGAUAGGUUCCAAUUAAAAAUAAACGCAAGUGACCGUCAUCAGGAUGACGAUCGCUUGUGUUUUGAUCGUAACGUCGUAGUUUUUGUUUAUUUUAUUUGUAUUAAUUGGAACCUAUCUACGUGACUUUACCGAAAGACCCAAAGAAUAAGGGAUGACUGUGUUUAAGGCUUGGGCAGCGGUCACCAACCUGCGGCUCUUUAAAGGACUGCUGCUACGUGACCGUAAUUUAUGAAGGACCACCACUGUCUCGUAUUCACCACCACAGUGCAUUGCGGCUCUUGAUAUAUAUUGAUUUUUUUUUAAACUGAAUUCGAAGGAAAAAAAUGUCGCUUCUUGUUAUUCCGGUUGUAAUGUUAUAGGUAUGGGUGGAAUUAGGAACUAGGGAUAGGAGUUUUGGUUAAGGUCAUGGACUAGGCUUAGGGAUGAGUAGGGUUGAGGGGGAGGACUAGGGUUAGCGUUGGGUUGGGAUUCAUGGGUUAGGGUUUAGGGUCAGGAUCAAGCUGGGGUCAGGUGAGGUUCUGUCUUAAGGUUAUAAGGUUACAGUCAGUGUUAGUUGUCAGUAGUAGGGUUAGGAUAAAGGACAGCAUUUAUAUUUCCCAACUUCGUGCAUGGCACACUGAGAUCCCUGAAUGGAUUGCGCCUUAGACAUGUGAGUAAUUAUUAUUGAGGGGUAGGCCCUUUCAGAAUUGGGAUAUUUCGCACUUAUCUGGAAAGCAGUGAACCUCCAAAUAAGAGCUAUACUCUCUUUUGUCGGCUAUCUCUUGCGUAUAUUUCAUGGUGGAAACAUAUAAACCAGGCUCACAACAUUAUCGAAUCCUCACAUUUUAAAGAACUUGCUACUCCGCUUAUGACACAACUAGUCGUGAGACGGCUGAUGCAAUUUGCAUUCAUCGGUAUCGAAUCACACUCAAAGAAAGUAAUUUCAGGCUGAAACUAUAUUUUUUAGGAUAUGUUCAAAUUAAACUGUAAAUGCCAAAGCCACUAUUUUUUUAAUGCUCUGUUCGCUUUAAUUCCAUAUCUAUAAUAGGAGCAAGCGGAGAGAGCGGGGUGUUUUUUAUUUAUUUUCUUCAUGGCAUGACGAUAGCUGCCGACAGCCCAGAGAAUGGUGUCCAAGAGCUGGAACAAACGAGCUCGGACUGCUCAAGGCUUCGAAGACGCGCAGAGAAAUUCUGCAAUGCAUGGCACCCGCCGGGCUGUCUGUGGCAACGUCUCCGACAGGUGUCAAGCUUCGUCUCCUUGAGCGUGCCCCUUUUGCUGGGGCCACGAACACAAUUUCACUUUGUUUUGUUGCGGUUGUUGUUGUUGCUGUUGCCGUCCGUAAGUUGCUCGGUCCGGUCAUUAAAUCGGUGGUUCGAUCCAACGUUCAACCGUCGUCGUCAUUCUAGGGCGAGCCGUUGAUGCGUUCAAAGUUUGAGCGAUGUGCUUGUUGAUAUUACCGCGGGGUUUUUCCCCAGCUUCGAAGAGCGCGGGUCGUGCAGUGCAGUUAACGGGCCGUUCUCCACCUCGAAUUUAGGCGCUGCUUGGAAAUAACGAACAGUCGGCGUAAGACGGAAUUAAAUAAUGAACGUCGAUGUUUGUAGCGAAGAGCAACACUGGCUGGAGGAGGUGGACGUCUUAUUUCUUGAGUACCGAUUUGCUUAAAGACUAAAAACAUUAAUUGAAAAAAAUGUAAUAUGCUCUCACGGCUGUCAGUUUAAAAAAAAAUAACAAUUAUGUACGGCACUUAGUAAAUCGACUUCCAGAUGCAGACCUCCGCAGGACGUGUCAGACAGACGUUAUUUGACCAUACUUCACCAGGCUGUUAGUGAAGGGGGGGGGGGGGGGGCAGGUUGAGAACCGGCUCAGCUACGACUCACCACUGAUGUUAGCCGUGGCCGCGAAUCAAACUUAAGUCCCUGGGUUCUAAGCUAAUUGUGUUCCCCGCUGCUCCGCCGCUGUAACAUUAAAUACGGGGCCUCACCUCGAGCGUCACGUUUAAUGCAAAUGAGGAAUAAUCAUCGCGAGCCGUGCAUCUCCACCCGCGUCCUUACGACCCCCUCUGGUGCAGCAUUGCACGAUUGCUGACCGUUAGGUACAAGCGGUGUUCUCCGUGGCUUCAUCUGCAUAUGAAUGAGCAAGCACUCUUCCUCGGAGCGGAGACAGCUCCCUUUCUCGCAGCUAUCGUUCCAUCCCCUUGAGGUUGGGGUCCUUUCUCGGAAAAUUUCCGAGAGCUGCUCCGAACAAGGGCCGUUUGCCUGAAACGUCAGCCCUUUUCUGCGUACUUUGCCGCCCCUACACGUGCAUAUGGAGGAGCAUGAGUGCAGUGAUUGUCGAACUGCACUCUGGACCGGGCCACCCGAUGUCGAUUACCAGCCACAGCUGACGUGAGUGUGUAAUUCCCAGCAUUCAGGUGGCACUCGUCUCCUCUUCGCGGCCCUAAGUCAGUGGCGGAAAUUGACUCCCACGUAAAGCGAUCCUCAAUUCAUCGACCCCCGAAGGGAUGAUAGACUGAGCCGAUCCUCAACCGGGAUUUAAAAUCGCAACUUUCCCAUUGCGAGCCGCUCACUCUGCCCGCCGGGCCACCGAUGCGUGGCACGAGUAUUUCAUCGGCACACACCGGAAGUAUCCAAUUUCGAGCGCACGCCUCCACGAAUGCUACACAUCGUGAGUCGAAGCACCGACGAUAUAAACGCCUCCGUUACACGACCCCCCGGUACAAGCGCAAUCCAAAUGAAACGUGGAAACGUGCGGUGGACAUUGGGGCGCUGGGAAUUGGUGGCGAGCAGUGGUGGUGGUUGCAGCCUUACUCAUGUCAGCGAGAGCGGUCUGCGAUCCCGCCCGGACGGUCGUGCCUCCGCCGCCAGGGCACCAGCAUGUCCCGCGCACCUGCCAAGGCAACGAGCCGGGACGCGAGAUCACCACCGCGCUCGCAUCGACACGCCGACCGAGGCCAUUUUAUCUCGAGGUCAAAUACCAGACGUGGUCUUCUCAGCACGUCUUUCCUCCCAAGCCAGUAAAGUGAGCCAAAUCUGGUUCGCCAAGGAGCAGGAAAAACAAGUGUCGCCUUCUGCCAGGCAGCAAAUGGGCCGCAGUUGAAUGUGGAAAUAAAUGCCUCCUUAUCUCUGCAUCCCACGAGCUGCGCAUUCUUUGUUCGUUACAAUACACACGGCAUGCUGGUGGAGCUUUCGCAAACGUUUCUCAAUCAAUCCACUGUUGGAUACUAAA